UUACUGCUCAGUCUAUCUACACACCCUGACGCAUUCACGCACAGCCAUAGAUACUCAAAACACACUCAAACACACACAGAAUGAAGCUAAACACACACUUACACACAUACACACAGCCUUAAAUGCUCAAAACACCCAUAUAGACCCAAAAACACUCGUGAACACACUCAAACACACACAGAACCAAGCUAAAUACACACACACACACACACACACACACAUACACAAUGAAGUGAAGUGUUACCAUAUUCCCAGGCAGUUUUUAGCAGCACAAGCGGCAAGACAAGAGUGAACCAGCAGUGCAAGGCAAGCCACCAUGACCUGCAGCCUUCACCACACCCCUCCUUCACUUACUCAAGGCUCAGACGUCAAGACGGAAGCAACAGAAGGAAGACGGAAGGAGAAACAAAGCAGGAGGACGAAGAAGAAACGAGAAAUAGAGGCGGAAUAGGAGAAGGAGCCAAGGUGUAAUAUUUAGCCCUGCCCAUCCUGCAGCCCCCGCGAGUGAUCCUGUACGCCCUGCCGCUGCUGCCGCUCCUGCUGGUGGUGACCCUGACAAUGAGAGUCAACCUGUGCUCUGUUCUCAGGGACUUGUACCAUUAUCGUGUGCUGUGAGAGGCGUAGAGCACUG
Long non-coding RNA from Portunus trituberculatus (swimming crab), 631 nucleotides. RefSeq lists it as uncharacterized. The transcript has 3 exons. The record is from RefSeq and is a predicted model, not a curated record. NCBI's taxonomy places the organism in Eukaryota, Metazoa, Arthropoda, Malacostraca, Decapoda, Portunidae.